AUGGCUUUCCCAAGGAAAGAAGCAUUUUUACCUAGCCCUAUAUGCAGUGGAGAGUGGUUGAGAAUCCAAUCCUUCCAAGGGAAGAGAGGAGCAUGCAAAAAUUUGAAUGCAAAUUUCAACAUAAGGCAAAAGUUUUGUGCUCUCAGGUUUUUGAUUCCAAGACCUCCAACAAGUUUGGGAAUACAAACGCGGUCAUACUCUACAAGGCACUUGGCCCCAGAGAAAGAAUCAUCAUUAGACCAGAAAAAAAAUCAUAUGACGCUUAUCGAUGUCCUUGAGAACGCUACAGGUAAGGAAAAGCACAUCAUGAAAUAA
RNAcentral lists this ribosomal RNA (315 nucleotides) under Triticum aestivum (bread wheat). Its description in RNAcentral is "partial small subunit ribosomal RNA". The record is from RNAcentral. Lineage: Eukaryota; Viridiplantae; Streptophyta; Magnoliopsida; Poales; Poaceae.